UGGGGAAUCUUGCGCAAUGGACGAAAGUCUGACGCAGCGACGCCGCGUGAGUGAUGAAGGCCUUCGGGUUGUAAAGCUCUGUGGGGAGGAGCGAAUAAGUAGAAGCUAACACCUUCUAUGAUGACGGUACCUCCUUAGCAAGCACCGGCUAACUCUGUGCCAGCAGCCGCGGUAAGACAGAGGGUGCAAACGUUGUUCGGAAUUACUGGGCGUAAAGCGUGUGUAGGCGGCUAUGUAAGUCGGAUGUGAAAGCCCCGGGCUCAACCCGGGAAGUGCACUCGAUACUGCGUAGCUUGAGUCUCGGAGAGGUUGGUGGAAUUCUCGGUGUAGAGGUGAAAUUCGUAGAUAUCGAGAGGAACACCGGUGGCGAAGGCGGCCAACUGGACGAAGACUGACGCUGAGACACGAAAGCGUGGGGAGCAAACAG
Molecule: ribosomal RNA, 427 nt
Filed under: uncultured bacterium
Lineage: Bacteria
Description: bacterial SSU rRNA
Rfam family: Bacterial small subunit ribosomal RNA
Source: RNAcentral